GAAAGAUGAUCAGGUUGAUAGGUCUGAGGUGGAAGUGUGGCGACACAUGGAGCUGACAGAUACUAAUCGAUCGAGGACUUAACCUA
RNAcentral lists this ribosomal RNA (86 nucleotides) under Bacillus mojavensis. RNAcentral describes it as "partial 23S ribosomal RNA". It matches the Rfam family "Bacterial large subunit ribosomal RNA", at positions 2839 to 2925 of the family's 2925-position model. RNAcentral also lists the same sequence under 2 other names. Lineage: Bacteria; Bacillati; Bacillota; Bacilli; Caryophanales; Bacillaceae. The record is from RNAcentral.